RNAcentral lists this transfer RNA (74 nucleotides) under Bos taurus (domestic cattle). It matches the Rfam family "tRNA". From Rfam's summary of the family: Transfer RNA (tRNA) molecules are approximately 80 nucleotides in length. Their secondary structure includes four short double-helical elements and three loops (D, anti-codon, and T loops). Lineage: Eukaryota; Metazoa; Chordata; Mammalia; Artiodactyla; Bovidae. The record is from Rfam by way of RNAcentral. RNAcentral also lists the same sequence under 5 other names.
CCUGGUGGCUUAAUGGUAAAGAAUCUGCCUGCAAUGCAGGAGUUCGAUCCCAGGUUCGAUCCCUGGGUCCAGAA